This 225-nucleotide unclassified non-coding RNA is filed under the name uncultured fungus. RNAcentral's name for it is "sequence contains ITS1, 5.8S rRNA gene". The stretch from base 176 to 225 matches the Rfam family "5.8S ribosomal RNA", at positions 1 to 49 of the family's 154-position model. Lineage: Eukaryota; Fungi. The record is from RNAcentral.
UCUCCGUAGGUGAACCUGCGGAGGGAUCAUUACUGAGUGAGGGCUCACGCCCGACCUCCAACCCUGUGUGAACACAUCUUGUUGCUUCGGGGGCGACCCUGCCGUCCGCGGCUGAGCGCCCCCGGGGUCAAUCAAACACUGCAUCUUUGCGUCGGAGUUUAAGUAAAUUAAACAAAACUUUCAACAACGGAUCUCUUGGUUCUGGCAUCGAUGAAGAACGCCAGC